GAUCCUGGCUCAGGAUGAACGCUAGCUACAGGCUUAACACAUGCAAGUCGAGGGGAAACGAUAUUGGAAGCUUGCUUCCGAUAGGCGUCGACCGGCGCACGGGUGAGUAACACGUAUCCAACCUCCCGCAUACUCGGGAAUAGCCUUUCGAAAGAAAGAUUAAUGCCCGAUGGUUUCAAGGGAUUGCAUGGUAUCUUGAAUAAAGAUUCAUCGGUAUGCGAUGGGGAUGCGUUCCAUUAGG
Molecule: ribosomal RNA, 241 nt
Filed under: uncultured bacterium
Lineage: Bacteria
Description: partial 16S ribosomal RNA
Rfam family: Bacterial small subunit ribosomal RNA
Source: RNAcentral